Molecule: non-coding RNA, 82 nt
Organism: Ictalurus furcatus (blue catfish)
Lineage: Eukaryota; Metazoa; Chordata; Actinopteri; Siluriformes; Ictaluridae
Source: the annotation of a RefSeq genome assembly
GUCAUGGUGGCUGAGAGGUUAAGGCAUUGGAUUUGAAAUCCAAUGUGGUUUCCCAGCACAGGUUCAAAUCCUGUCUUUGAUG